UAUUCGACGCUAUUACGCAUCCAUGACAGUAAACCCGCAACCGCCAAUUUCCCGCCGAAAUAGAUUUCCUUCUUCUCGAGUUCACCCACCGAUUCAACUCGAUCAAAAGCCAAGCCAAGCCAAGAUGUUUAUCCUCCGAGUCCACUCAGUGGACGUCGAUCACCCUCUCACUCUCCAGGAGUCCACCUUCUCCACUACCCAAUCAAACCCUAUCCCUAACCCUAAAUAAAGUGAAAGAAGAGGCGUAGUGCAAGUCUAUGAAAACGCAUAGCAUAGCAGUGCUUAUUGCCAAACCUUAGCUCUCGAUCCACUUCUCUCUUCGUUGACGCUGUUCCCAACUACCUCUCCGCUUACGAUUUCAUCCGUUUCUGCGACUCCCACAUCCACAAUGUCCAUGAGCUCCUCUUCAUCAGGAGCUACCUGAAUAUUUUUAAGCGUAUCAACUACUAAGGUACUAAGAAAGAGAGGAUGGCAGAAGGAUAAAUGCAAGUCUUUUAUAUGAUUUUUGCAUGAAAAGUGAGAAGGGAUUGCCUCAAACUAGACCAAAACUGGUGUUUGGAUGAGUUGAUGAGGGGAUUUUUCUUCUUUUUAUGGUCAUUGUUGUUUAUUUUGAUGGAA
Long non-coding RNA from Hevea brasiliensis (rubber tree), 618 nucleotides. RefSeq lists it as uncharacterized. The record is from RefSeq and is a predicted model, not a curated record. The transcript has 2 exons. Lineage: Eukaryota; Viridiplantae; Streptophyta; Magnoliopsida; Malpighiales; Euphorbiaceae.